RNAcentral lists this transfer RNA (76 nucleotides) under Candidatus Enterosoma merdigallinarum. RNAcentral's name for it is "tRNA-Ala". It matches the Rfam family "tRNA". From Rfam's summary of the family: Transfer RNA (tRNA) molecules are approximately 80 nucleotides in length. The record is from RNAcentral. Lineage: Bacteria; Bacillati; Bacillota; Bacilli; Caryophanales.
GGGGCUGUAGCUCAACUGGGAGAGCGCCUCCAUGGCAUGGAGGAGGUCGUGGGUUCGAUCCCCAUCAGCUCCACCA